This 274-nucleotide ribosomal RNA is filed under the name uncultured bacterium. RNAcentral describes it as "partial 16S ribosomal RNA". It matches the Rfam family "Bacterial small subunit ribosomal RNA", at positions 523 to 796 of the family's 1533-position model. The record is from RNAcentral.
AUACGGAGGGUGCAAGCGUUAUUCGGAAUCACUGGGCGUAAAGCGCGCGCAGGCGGGCUGAUAAGUUGGAUGUGAAAGCCUACGGCUCAACCGUAGAACUGCAUCCAAAACUGUCAGUCUAGAGUCUGGGAGGGGAAGAUGGAAUUAGUUGUGUAGGGGUAAAAUCCGUAGAGAUAACUAGGAAUACCAAAAGCGAAGGCGAUCUUCUGGAACAGUACUGACGCUGAGGCGCGAAAGCGUGGGGAGCAAACGGAAUUAGAUACCCUAGUAGUCC